CUCAAUACUUUACAUCAUGUUAACGGCCAUGUUUCGCUUCCUCUUUGUUCCCAAUAAAGUUCUCUCUCUCAAGAAACAGAAGGUAGCAAUUAUGACAAAUGCCAAAGCAAACAAAUCCCCAAUCACCUGUUCAUACUAGCAACAAAUACACUUUGGUAAUUGGUUGCAGCAUAUAUGAUAUUUGGAAAACAUCUUGUCAACUAUAAAUUUUUGUGAUGUACUUGCAGAUAGUAAAGCAAAUGGGUUUGAAAACCAUACAUACUACCAAGGUUUGGAACAUUUGGUACCAUGGCAAUAAUUAAAGAACUAAAAUAGGGUAAUACCUGUCGAACUACAACACCAGCUGAUUUGCUUUUGUUUAGUUGUUAUUGAGUCAAAUAAUUGUUAAGAUAUUUUGCUGAUUUUUAGUCUUUGAAUUGUUCACCUUAAAGUCAAUAGUAUACCUAAUUUUUAGCACUUAGUUGAGUCCUUGUUAGCUACAAUAACUGCUAAAAAUAUGGCAACAUUGUUACUUGUGUUUUGAUAUAAAAACGUAUUUGGUUCAGC
RNAcentral lists this long non-coding RNA (546 nucleotides) under Gossypium raimondii (Peruvian cotton). RNAcentral's name for it is "long non-coding RNA (GRAI_LNC003485)". The record is from RNAcentral. Lineage: Eukaryota; Viridiplantae; Streptophyta; Magnoliopsida; Malvales; Malvaceae.